AAUGGGUCAGCGACUUAUAUUCUGUAGCAAGGUUAACCGAAUAGGGGAGCCGAAGGGAAACCGAGUCUUAACUGGGCGUUAAGUUGCAGGGUAUAGACCCGAAACCCGGUGAUCUAGCCAUGGGCAGGUUGAAGGUUGGGUAACACUAACUGGAGGACCGAACCGACUAAUGUUGAAAAAUUAGCGGAUGACUUGUGGCUGGGGGUGAAAGGCCAAUCAAACCGGGAGAUAGCUGGUUCUCCCCGAAAGCUAUUUAGGUAGCGCCUCGUGAAUUCAUCUCCGGGGGUAGAGCACUGUUUCGGCAAGGGGGUCAUCCCGACUUACCAACCCGAUGCAAACUGCGAAUACCGGAGAAUGUUAUCACGGGAGACACACGGCGGGUGCUAACGUCCGUCGUGAAGAGGGAAACAACCCAGACCGCCAGCUAAGGUCCCAAAGUCAUGGUUAAGUGGGAAACGAUGUGGGAAGGCCCAGACAGCCAGGAUGUUGGCUUAGAAGCAGCCAUCAUUUAAAGAAAGCGUAAUAGCUCACUGGUCGAGUCGGCCUGCGCGGAAGAUGUAACGGGGCUAAACCAUGCACCGAAG
This 584-nucleotide ribosomal RNA is filed under the name Escherichia coli. RNAcentral's name for it is "partial 23S ribosomal RNA". It matches the Rfam family "Bacterial large subunit ribosomal RNA", at positions 614 to 1199 of the family's 2925-position model. Lineage: Bacteria; Pseudomonadati; Pseudomonadota; Gammaproteobacteria; Enterobacterales; Enterobacteriaceae. The record is from RNAcentral.